Molecule: transfer RNA, 76 nt
Filed under: compost metagenome
Description: tRNA-Thr
Rfam family: tRNA
About the family: Transfer RNA (tRNA) molecules are approximately 80 nucleotides in length. Their secondary structure includes four short double-helical elements and three loops (D, anti-codon, and T loops).
Source: RNAcentral
GCCGGAAUAGCUCAGUCGGUAGAGCAACCGCCUUGUAAGCGGAAGGUCGCAGGUUCGAUUCCUGUUUCCGGCACCA